This 467-nucleotide ribosomal RNA is filed under the name uncultured bacterium. RNAcentral describes it as "partial 16S ribosomal RNA". It matches the Rfam family "Bacterial small subunit ribosomal RNA", at positions 28 to 507 of the family's 1533-position model. The record is from RNAcentral.
GAUGAACGCUGACAGAAUGCUUAACACAUGCAAGUCAACUUGCAUUUGGGUUUUUAACUUAGGUUUGGGUGGCGGACGGGUGAGUAACGCGUAAAGACCUUGCCUCACAGCUAUGGACAACAUUUGGAAACGAAUGCUAAUACCUAAUAUUAUGAUAAUACGACAUCCUAUAAUUAUGAAAGCUAUAAGCGCUGUGAGAGAGCUUUGCGUCCCAUUAGCUAGUUGGAGAGGUAACGGCUCACCAAGGCGAUGAUGGGUAGCCGGCCUGAGAGGGUGAUCGGCCACAAGGGGACUGAGACACGGCCCUUACUCCUACGGGAGGCAGCAGUGGGGAAUAUUGGACAAUGGACCGAGAGUCUGAUCCAGCAAUUCUGUGUGCACGAUGAAGUUUUUCGGAAUGUAAAGUGCUUUCAGUUGGGAAGAAACAAAUGACGGUACCAACAGAAGAAGUGACGGCUAAAUACGUG